Molecule: ribosomal RNA, 492 nt
Filed under: uncultured bacterium
Lineage: Bacteria
Description: partial 16S ribosomal RNA
Rfam family: Bacterial small subunit ribosomal RNA
Source: RNAcentral
AGUGAACGCUGGCGGUAGGCCUAACACAUGCAUGUCGAACGGCAGCACAGUAAGAGCUUGCUCUUACGGGUGGCGAGUGGCGGACGGGUGAGGAAUACAUCGGAAUCUACUUUUUCGUGGGGGAUAACGUAGGGAAACUUACGCUAAUACCGCAUACGACCUACGGGUGAAAGCAGGGGAUCUUCGGACCUUGCGCGAUUGAAUGAGCCGAUGUCGGAUUAGCUAGUUGGCGGGGUAAAGGCCCACCAAGGCGACGAUCCGUAGCUGGUCUGAGAGGAUGAUCAGCCACACUGGAACUGAGACACGGUCCGGACUCCUACGGGAGGCAGCAGUGGGGAAUAUUGGACAAAGGGCGCAAGCCUGAUCCAGCCAUACCGCGUGGGUGAAGAAGGCCUUCGGGUUGUAAAGCCCUUUUGUUGGGAAAGAAAAGCAGCAGGUUAAUACCCCGCUGUUCUGACGGUACCCAAAGAAUAAGCACCGGCUAACUUCGUG